UGGGGAAUAUUGCACAAUGGGCGAAAGCCUGAUGCAGCGACGCCGCGUGAGGGAUGACGGCCUUCGGGUUGUAAACCUCUUUCAGCAGGGACGAAGCGCAAGUGACGGUACCUGCAGAAGAAGCACCGGCUAACUACGUGCCAGCAGCCGCGGUAAUACGUAGGGUGCAAGCGUUGUCCGGAAUUACUGGGCGUAAAGAGUUCGUAGGCGGUUUGUCGCGUCGUUUGUGAAAACCAGCAGCUCAACUGCUGGCUUGCAGGCGAUACGGGCAGACUUGAGUACUGCAGGGGAGACUGGAAUUCCUGGUGUAGCGGUGAAAUGCGCAGAUAUCAGGAGGAACACCGGUGGCGAAGUCGGGUCUCUGGGCAGUAACUGACGCUGAGGAACGAAAGCGUGGGUAGCGAACAGG
RNAcentral lists this ribosomal RNA (409 nucleotides) under bacterium. Its description in RNAcentral is "partial 16S ribosomal RNA". It matches the Rfam family "Bacterial small subunit ribosomal RNA", at positions 355 to 776 of the family's 1533-position model. The record is from RNAcentral.